GACGAACGCUGACGGUGUGCUUUAGACAUGCAAGUCGAACGCGAAAGCCCUUCGGGGUUAGUAGAGUGGCGAACGGGUGAGUAACACGUGGGCAAUCUGCCCCUCGCAGGGGGACAACCGGAGGAAACCCCGGCUAAUACCCCGUACGCUUGUGGGACCGCAUGGUUCCGCAAGGAAAGGUAGCUUCGGCCAUCCGGCGAGGGAUGAGCCCGCGGUGCAUUAGCUAGUUGGUGAGGUAACGGCCCACCAAGGCAACGAUGCAUAGCUGGUCUGAGAGGAUGAUCAGCCACACUGGGACUGAGACACGGCCCAGACUCCUACGGGAGGCAGCAGUCGGGAAUCUUGCGCAAUGGGCGAAAGCCUGACGCAGCAACACCGUGUGAGCGACGAAGGCC
Molecule: ribosomal RNA, 395 nt
Filed under: uncultured bacterium
Lineage: Bacteria
Description: bacterial SSU rRNA
Rfam family: Bacterial small subunit ribosomal RNA
Source: RNAcentral